GCAGGUAUAGCUCAGUGGUAAAGCACAUGCCUAGCAUGCACAAGGUCCUGGGUUCAAUCCCCAGUACCUCCU
Molecule: transfer RNA, 72 nt
Filed under: Camelus bactrianus (Bactrian camel)
Lineage: Eukaryota; Metazoa; Chordata; Mammalia; Artiodactyla; Camelidae
Also listed under: 2 other names
Rfam family: tRNA
About the family: Transfer RNA (tRNA) molecules are approximately 80 nucleotides in length. Their secondary structure includes four short double-helical elements and three loops (D, anti-codon, and T loops). Further hydrogen bonds mediate the characteristic L-shaped molecular structure. tRNAs have two regions of fundamental functional importance: the anti-codon, which is responsible for specific mRNA codon recognition, and the 3' end, to which the tRNAs corresponding amino acid is attached (by aminoacyl-tRNA synthetases). tRNAs cope with the degeneracy of the genetic code in two manners: having more than one tRNA (with a specific anti-codon) for a particular amino acid; and 'wobble' base-pairing, i.e. permitting non-standard base-pairing at the 3rd anti-codon position.
Source: Rfam by way of RNAcentral